UUGUUCAUUUGCCCAAUCAAAUUGCAGCUUGUAAGAGCUGCGUACUGACCCCUAAUUUGUAAAUAGUGUCUCCAAAAAAAAAAAAAAAAAAAAAACUCCAGCCAGAGUGUCAGGCCCUUUUAACGUAUAUAACGGGAAGCGGUGGUUUUAUUUUACCUUUCGGACUUUUGAAAAAUAAAAUCGCUGAUACUCGGGCUAAAACAAACUCUUAACGAUGAAUAAAAAUCAUUAGCAUGAUCCCCUCCCCACGUUCAAACAAAUUGUAUCAUUUCACCUCUUGUGUCAAAAUUAACACUUCUCAAACUUGGCAAAAAAACCCUCAUGUGUUUGCUUAUAAGGCCUGUCACGUGAUUUGGAAAUCUCAGCGCCCUUGAUAAAAGGCCACGCCAUCGGAUGUCCGUUAGGUAUCACAUUUGCCCUGUUAGAUCCAGAAAACUGAGUAUUGACCAACAGUCCCAGCGUUGUUGGGAACACCAUACAACAUCGUUGUGCCCGGUUGUCAUUGUUUGUAGUUUGUGUUGCACGAUCUUGCGUGCUUCACUGUUUAUUAUUCCUUAACCUUUGCUUUGGCCAACCGAGCAAGGCGGUAACUGUCGCACAGAGCAGGUAUCACGGCGUCAUUUAACUUCAAAUCUCCUCUGAGGCGCGACUUACAGACACCUGUUAUAUAUAUAGCGCAGAAAAGCGGUGCAUCAUCAUCUCGUUGUCAUCUUGUCUUGUUUGGUUUCGUGAAAAUAAGCAGCAGCCAGCAUUACAUGGCCUUUUAGGUGACAACGCACUCUUAGAGGUUAGUUCAGCGCGCACCCCCAGCCAACCUUGACCGCCCACAAGGGUUUCCCUUGCUAACGAAUAGUCAAAUAACAGGCAUUUGAUAGUCAUAGAUAGAUGUAUAUCUGUAUCCCCCCCUUUACUCAGCAAGUCCUGGCUCGGCGCCUGCACUGCUGUUCGACAUUUAACCUCUUCACAAAAACAUUCGGCUACGUCUGAAUGUAGGCUAUGCCGUUAUAGACAGUUUUUUUUCUGCUUUGCCUGCAGCCCACACGCUAUGGCCAUAUAGAAGUGGUGUUAGUGUUAACGCGUUUGGACCAGGUGCCUACUUAGGGAGUACGUAAUGUUAGGUUUAACGCGUGUGGACCAGACGUGUAGUUAGGAGGUGUUUUAACGCGUGUGGACCAGACGUGUAGUUAGGAGGUGUUUUAACGCGUGUGGACCAGACGUGUAGUUAGGGGGUGUUUUAACGCGUGUGGACCAGACGUGUAGUUAGGGGGUGUGUAAUGUUAGGGUUAACGCGUGUGGACCAGACGCGUACUAGUUAGGGGGGGUGUGUAAUGUUAGGUUUAACGCGUGUGGACCAGACGUGUAGUUAGGGGGUGUGUAAUGUUAGGGUUAACGCGUGUGGACCAGGCGCGUACUUAGCCUGUAUAUCGGUAACAUGGCGAGGAACAUGUACUUCACCUUCGUACAGAUCGUGGCCACACUCAACAGCCAAUCACAUGGGUCGCCUUGAAAAAGUGACUGACAGCUGUCAAUCAAGAAGUCAGCUUUCAAAAGUCGUCGCGUUACUCACUGCUGUUGUGCUGAUGAAUGGCGUUCUUUGCUUGUCUAUCAUCAUUUUCCUAAGGCAUAAGGCAUACGCCAUAUUGGACUGAUAUCACGUGAUCACAUCUGAGCUUUACCCCACGUGAUACUGUAAGGGCCAAGUCGUGCCGAUCGGGUUUCGCGGGCGAUAGGAAGUGACGACACAGCAAGCCCCUCCUGUUGGGUUUCUCAGUAUAAUUUGGAUCAAACAAACCGAGCAAAAACGGUGACAACGAAUGAUUGGUAUGACGUUCAUUUCUAGGAAUACAGCAAAGGAACAACUCUUGGAAGAGCAGCAGCUAAAGUCUCAUCCUUCCACCGAAUUCUUUGUAAGAAGCGAAGUAACCGCCCCCCCCCCCCCCACCACCACCACCACCACCUAGUGAUUACAAUGUGUCGGUAGGCCCUCACGACCUCACGAGGAAAUCACGUGACUUUUUGAGUGGCAAGCCCACGCCGUCAGAAUGUGUUAUCAUUAGUUAUGAGCAACCCUUUUUGAAAUUAGAGACACUAGAUUAAAGAGACUAGAUUAUGCGAAGUUCAAGUUUUUAUAAGGGGAACUGUUAUACGCGAGAUAAAUAAAUUCACAAGACAUGCUUCACAAAGUAAAACAUUUAUUAUAUAAUUUAAUAUAUACAUAGCUAUAAUUCAAUCGUAAUCAAUAAAAUGUUAAAAUCUAUCCCCUUAUUCUCUUUAUUAUCUUAACGAAAAUAUAUAUUCACAGCUACUCUAAAGCUUUCUAUUUUCCCUGCGAGGAUGAAGUAUAGCAAUAGCGGACGCAUCAGCACUCUAGUCUCCUUUUUACAAUAAAUACGGGUAGAUUUUGUAAUCAGAUAUCCAUAUUUGUGUUCUAUAUCAGGACAGAGUCUACAAGGCUACCAAGUGGCUUUAGUACAAUGUCUUGUGAUAAACAGGUGUUUUUGAUUACAGCCAAAUUCGUUGCGCGACCUCGGCGAAUCCAAAAUCCUUGUCUCGUUUGGGAAUAGCGCUUAGUCAGACACGCUUUGGGGGCGGCUUGUCUGGUUUUGAUUGUUUGGUUUGCUUGACUACGCGCUAUUCCCAAACGAAGAAAAGAAUAUUCGAUUCUGUGAGGUCGCGCAACAACGAAUUUGGCUAUAGAAACAGCAUACUUUUAGCAGCAUCGUGUUGUCUUGGUUUUCAAUGUUCAUCACCACAAAGAUAGUUACAACAACAACAAUCAUCAUCAUCAUCAUCAUCAUCAUCACCAAUUGCAGCAGCAGUACUCACAAUACGCUCUACCUUAAUCGUCAUCAUCAUCUUCAUCACCAUUAAAACAUCACCUUCAACAUAACUGUAAUUGUCAUCAUCAUUAAAACCAUUAACAUCAAAACCGCCACUAGCACCAUCACCAUCAAAAUCAUCCAUCCGGCUUCCUCUACAUCACCACUGCCUUUGUCAUCAUCAUCACCACCGCCUUUGACGUCAUCAUCACCACCGCCUUUGUCAUCAUUUUCAAAACCAUCACCGCCUUUGUCAUCAUCAUCAAAGUCAUCACCCCAACUCAAUGAAAGGGCCCAAACUCAACACACCCCAACUCAAUGAAAGGGCCCAAACUCAACAUAAUACUUAGUGUAGUUAA
Nematostella vectensis (starlet sea anemone) is the source of this 3178-nucleotide long non-coding RNA. RefSeq lists it as uncharacterized. The transcript is spliced from 4 exons. The record is from RefSeq and is a predicted model, not a curated record. Lineage: Eukaryota; Metazoa; Cnidaria; Anthozoa; Actiniaria; Edwardsiidae.